UUUAAUUCGAUGCAACGCGAAGAACCUUACCUGGUCUUGACAUCCACGGAAGUUUUCAGAGAUGAGAAUGUGCCUUCGGGAACCGUGAGACAGGUGCUGCAUGGCUGUCGUCAGCUCGUGUUGUGAAAUGUUGGGUUAAGUCCCGCAACGAGCGCAACCCUUAUCUUUGUUGCCAGCGGUCCGGCCGGGAACUCAAAGGAGACUGCCAGUGAUAAACUGGAGGAAGGUGGGGAUGACGUCAAGUCAUCAUGGCCCUUACGACCAGGGCUACACACGUGCUACAAUGGCGCAUACAAAGAGAAGCGACCUCGCGAGAGCAAGCGGACCUCAUAAAGUGCGUCGUAGUCCGGAUUGGAGUCUGCAACUCGACUCCAUGAAGUCGGAAUCGCUAGUAACCGUGGAUCAGAAUGCCA
Molecule: ribosomal RNA, 413 nt
Filed under: uncultured bacterium
Lineage: Bacteria
Description: bacterial SSU rRNA
Rfam family: Bacterial small subunit ribosomal RNA
Source: RNAcentral